AUGUCCAUCCCAGGAGAAGACAGUCCUUGGCUAUGGCGAGCUGCAGCUGUAUUUGAAUUCUAUGGCUACAGAUCACAGAAGGACUUGGAAACAUCAAAAGCUGUUGUUCAGCUUUGGGAGCACUCAGCAGGGCUCUGGAAAGAUGGUCACUGCAAAGCGCCACGACUCUUAACGGCUCUCCGGAAUCUUCUUAGCACUGGAAGGCUCAUGCAAUGGACUUGCCUCUCAGACUGGCUUGUGACCGUGAUGUCAUGGAUCGUCCGCCUCCAGAUCCUGAUCCCAGUUUUGAAUACAGUGUAUGCUUUCGCACAUGACUUUAGGGCAGAUAAGGGAAGAAAGGUGGAGUUCCUGAGGAUUCAGGCUCUACUUCUAGGUAUUAGUGUGGUUAAGGUUUUGAAAAGUCUACACUCAGACAAUAGUACAUUGGAGAAACCAUCACAGCGAAAUAAAGGCUCCUAUUCACAUGGUGUGUGUAAAAGAGCAUUUACUAUAAAUUUCUCAGAAUGACAGGAAGCAGCAAACAACUUGAAGCCCAAUAAGGGGUUGUUUUUUAAAAGUGGAGUUCUUCCACACAAGAGCUUUACAGUUUUAAAAAUUAAUUUGGCCGUAUGUGUGACAACCUGGAAAGGAGCUUGUUUAGUUAGACAAACAAGUUUCAAAUGAUGCAAUUGCCAUAGCAACGGUGUGUACCUCAUGCAUGCACAUACUUUCAUGUGCAUACACGCAUUCACGUGUGUGCACAACAUGUACCUAUGCACACUGUGUAUAUAUGCAAACAAUAUGCAUACAUGCACACACAUGUGCCCACACACAUUGCAUGUUAUAUAAUUUGCAGGAGUGAAACUCCACACAGGAAAAUGUCAAUGGUGCACAGAUUAAGGUGUGUGUUUGCACAUCUGUGCAUGCAUGUGAAAGCCAAAGGGCAUCCUUGGUUUUCUCAAAAGCCAUCACUUUGCUUUUGGGGGAUGGAGUCUCUCAGUUCUCUGCUGCUUGCCAGGUAGGCUAGGAUGGUUGACAGUUCAAUGGUCUUUUGGGUCUUUACCUCUGCAGUGUGGGGUUACAAGCACAUUAACACCAUUCCUCCCUCUCUCCUUCCCUCCCUCCCUCCCUCCCUCCCAUCUCCUUUCCUCCCCAACCCCCCACCCCCUGGCCUCUCUCUCAACAUGGGUUCUGAGGAUCAGGUUCAGCUUUCCACGCCUGCAAGGAAAACACUUCACUGACUUAUUUCUCCAGUGUGGUGAAGUCUUAAAUGAAAAUCUAACACAGUUUAGAGGAAAGUGAUCAUGGUGGCUAAAUGGUCAAUGAACAAAACGGGUGAACUUGUUCAUGGCUUUACUUGGCUGCAUGGGCUCACUGAGUUUUCAGGCUACCUGAGAUCAGUCACAUAUAGUAUGUGAGAAUCAAGGCUGCAGCACUUCUCAGAAAUAUAUAUAACAAACGGAAUGUAGGGUUUUACUGCUGUGAACAGACACCAUGACCAAGCCAACUCUUGUAAGGACAACAUUUAACUGGGACUGGUUUACAGGCUCAGAGCUUCAGUCCAUUAUCGAGGCGGGAGCACAGCAGCAUCCAGGCAGGCAUGGUACAGGAGGAGCUGAGAGUUCUACCUCUUCCCCUGGAGAAGACUGGCUUCUAGGAUGAGGUUCUUAAGGCCCAUACCCACAAUGAUUCACUUCCUCCAACAAGGCUACACCUACUCCAAGGCCACACCCCCCAAUAGUGCCACUCCCUGGACCAAGACUAUUCAAUCCACCACAGAGGAUUGUGUUUUUUGGUAUAGAACUUACAGCUUUUAGAGUCUCCCUGUUCAUUGCAACACCUGAUAAGCCAUUGAUCAUACUUGUAUUUAACCAGUAAGAACCGAUUUACAAGACUCCAGAAGUAUCUGAGCCUAUCAGAAUGCAGACUGUACUAGAGUUGGCCAUUUGGCCAAGUCUUUCCAGAUAAGUGUCACCAGGCCAGGCACCCAGCUUUACACCUCCUAGUGCAGAAAGCCUCACAUGUGUGACCCACAGUCGUUUCUGCAAAAGAGUUCUUAAGAAAAAUAUGCAUUGAACUACUGUACAGGGGAUGGUGAAUGGUUGCCAGCUAGUAUUGGUGGUGAUAGGGGGUGCUUGGGUUUGCUGUAAAACGCUAAAUAUGAAUGCCUUGAAAAGGAAGACAUAGGUGGUUUUUAGCAAGUAGAUAAAGCUAUGUCUGUUGUGACAGCAUUUUGGAAUAUUUUGGUAACUUCAGCUCUUCUGUGUCUCCAAAGAGGUUUAUACUCCAUCAUAAACCAUUGAGAAAAAUGAAUAUGUAUCUUUGGGCCCUUCUCAUCCAGAAAGAAAGGUAGGUAACCUGGGUAUUAGAUUUCAGAGGGUAUAUGUGGUUUGGAUGUGUUCUAUGUGCAUGUUCAUGGGGGUGCAUGAGUGCGUGUGCAUAUGUGUAUGCAUAAAUGUCUAUAUGUGUAUGGAGACCUGAGGUCGAUGUCCAG
Molecule: long non-coding RNA, 2473 nt
Filed under: Rattus norvegicus (Norway rat)
Lineage: Eukaryota; Metazoa; Chordata; Mammalia; Rodentia; Muridae
Description: long non-coding RNA NONRATT033146
Source: RNAcentral